RNAcentral lists this ribosomal RNA (253 nucleotides) under uncultured bacterium. Its description in RNAcentral is "partial 16S ribosomal RNA". It matches the Rfam family "Bacterial small subunit ribosomal RNA", at positions 524 to 776 of the family's 1533-position model. The record is from RNAcentral.
UACAGAGGUCUCAAGCGUUGUUCGGAUUCAUUGGGCGUAAAGGGCGCGUAGGCGGCUCGGUAAGUAGGGGGUGAAAUCCUGCGGCUUAACCGCAGGGCUGCCUUCUAAACUGUCGAGCUUGAGCACGGUAGAGGCAGAUGGAAUUCCCGGUGUAGCGGUGGAAUGCGUAGAGAUGUGGAGGAACACCGAUGGCGAAGGCAGCCCCCUGGGCCAAUACUGACGCUCAUGCACGAAAGCGUGGGGAGCAAACAGG